RNAcentral lists this ribosomal RNA (1364 nucleotides) under uncultured bacterium. RNAcentral's name for it is "bacterial SSU rRNA". It matches the Rfam family "Bacterial small subunit ribosomal RNA", at positions 28 to 1381 of the family's 1533-position model. The record is from RNAcentral.
GAUGAACGCUAGCUACAGGCUUAACACAUGCAAGUCGAGGGGCAGCAUGGUCUUAGCUUGCUAAGGCCGAUGGCGACCGGCGCACGGGUGAGUAACGCGUAUCCAACCUGCCUUACACUCUUGGACAGCCUUCUGAAAGGGAGAUUAAUACAAGAUGUUAUCAUGAGUAAGCAUUUUCGCAUGAUUAAAGGUUUACCGGUGUAAGAUGGGGAUGCGUUCCAUUAGAUAGUAGGCGGGGUAACGGCCCACCUAGUCUUCGAUGGAUAGGGGUUCUGAGAGGAAGGUCCCCCACAUUGGAACUGAGACACGGUCCAAACUCCUACGGGAGGCAGCAGUGAGGAAUAUUGGUCAAUGGACGAGAGUCUGAACCAGCCAAGUAGCGUGAAGGAUGAAGGUUCUAUGGAUUGUAAACUUCUUUUAUACGGGAAUAAACGGAUCCACGUGUGGAUUUUUGCAUGUACCGUAUGAAUAAGGAUCGGCUAACUCCGUGCCAGCAGCCGCGGUAAUACGGAGGAUCCGAGCGUUAUCCGGAUUUAUUGGGUUUAAAGGGAGCGUAGAUGGGUUGUUAAGUCAGUUGUGAAAGUUUGCGGCUCAACCGUAAAAUUGCAAUUGAUACUGGCAGUCUUGAGUACAGUUGAGGUAGGCGGAAUUCGUGGUGUAGCGGUGAAAUGCUUAGAUAUCACGAAGAACUCCGAUUGCGAAGGCAGCUUACUAACCUGUAACUGACAUUGAUGCUCGAAAGUGUGGGUAUCAAACAGGAUUAGAUACCCUGGUAGUCCACACGGUAAACGAUGAAUACUCGCUGUAGGCGAUAUACAGUCUGCGGCCAAGCGAAAGCAUUAAGUAUUCCACCUGGGGAGUACGCCGGCAACGGUGAAACUCAAAGGAAUUGACGGGGGCCCGCACAAGCGGAGGAACAUGUGGUUUAAUUCGAUGAUACGCGAGGAACCUUACCCGGGCUUAAAUUGCAACCGAAUAUGGCGGAAACGCUAUAGCUAGCAAUAGCGGUUGUGAAGGUGCUGCAUGGUUGUCGUCAGCUCGUGCCGUGAGGUGUCGGCUUAAGUGCCAUAACGAGCGCAACCCUUGCCGAUAGUUACUAACAGGUUAUGCUGAGGACUCUGUCGGGACUGCCAUCGUAAGAUGUGAGGAAGGUGGGGAUGACGUCAAAUCAGCACGGCCCUUACGUCCGGGGCUACACACGUGUUACAAUGGGGGGUACAGAGGGCUGCUACCACGCAAGUGGAUGCCAAUCCCAAAAACCUCUCUCAGUUCGGAUUGAAGUCUGCAAACCCGACUUCAUGAAGCUGGAUUCGCUAGUAAUCGCGCAUUCAGCCACGGGCGCGGUGAAUACGUUUCCCGGGCCU